This 1226-nucleotide long non-coding RNA is filed under the name Vulpes vulpes (red fox). RNAcentral describes it as "lncRNA (ENSVVUG00000007637.1)". Lineage: Eukaryota; Metazoa; Chordata; Mammalia; Carnivora; Canidae. The record is from RNAcentral.
CCCACCCCCGCCACCGCCCUCCCUCCUCCUUCCUCUCAAGCCUUUUGGAAUACGUGCAAAACACUUCCAAGUACAGAAUGUACUUUUCUUCAGUGCAGUCAAUUUUUCCUAAUGACCAUUUGUAUAAACCUUGGUAAUGUUGAGAACAGAGAAUUCUUGCAGCAAUAUAAAUAGCUUGCAAGGACUCUGCGCUUGACCCCCACCGCACCAAGGGAAUAAGUGUUUGUAAUUACUGUAUUCUGGUAGGGGCCCACAACCAACAGACUCUGACACGGCCACUCCUGUUUCCUUUGGCCGGUCAACAGUUCCAGCACUGAGGCCCAGCCAACACUGAGCUGAUGGUCGGGGCCACUCUGGGGCUGGUUGUGUUGUCUCCUGCUAGACAACACAGCCCAUGCUCACCAAGGAGUAUGUUAUCAAGAUAAGAUUGUCCAUAAGAAAAGCAUCACUAAAUUAAAAUGUAGAAAAUAGGAAGUCCACCCACAGCUAAAUGACGUGUCCUCAAGGACUGUGUGCCUCUCAGCUCUGGUUUGGGAUAAGCCUGUGGAAACGCCCCAAGGGAAACAAUAUUCUGGGCUACUCAGAUGACAGCCUCAGUAUAAACAUAAAUUUCCUGAAAAUCCAGAUAAUACUUUUUGUUCUACCAUUUUCUCCUUCUAAUCAGGGUUAGUUAGGUUCACCGAAAAACACAACAUUCUCGGCCUUCACACUUUCUACAUUUUCUUCUCCCCAAACCCACUCACUCCCUAGUGGCCUGUACGAACUUUUUUAGCCAACACUGGACAGAUUCCCACUGCUUUGAUGGGAGCAGCUCAACGCAGAAUGAUUACCUUUCGUUAGCAUGAUAACGUGGGGUUGAAGCAGUGGCUCAUAAUUCUCCAGAAGACUACAUCUUUCUGUGAUGAUCUGGUUCUGGGGGUGCCACCACAGGACACACUCAGGAUCUGGAGAAGAUGUCCUUCUGUCAUCAUUCCCUCUGUCCUGAGCUCCUGUCAAGCAUUUUUCAUCAUCUCCAUGGGCAAUGGGCCACAGGGGGCUCCCUGAUUCUCUUGCACCAGAGUGUCCUUCUAUCAUCAUGCUCCUGCGCCACACAACUGAAGUGCUCUCCAGUUAGAGUAUGGCUAUUCUACGGUGAUAGACUACACUCCUAUUUAAUAGGAUUUGGCAAGAAAAAUAUGGAGAGACUAAAAGGAAAAAUAAACUGCUUUCACUGGAGAUACAUCUAA